UCCCAUCUCCCCCCUGGUUAUCUUUCAUUCCAAUGGGAAUGGAAUGUGUAUAAUAAAGUGAAAAGACCAAAAUGCCCUUAUCAAUUUCACUCCAACACUUCUUCUCAGGUUUUUACUCCUCAUUUCAUCAGAAACCCAAACCCUAGCAGAGCCCCAAUUUCAUCGAAACUAAAACCUAGCCGAGCUUCUUCCCCAAAUUCAUGGAGGCUCCACCGGCGUUAGCACCGUCUCGCCGCCGAUUUGAGUUUGCACGACCAUCCCUCACCUUAUUCUAGAAGAAAAUUCACUUCAAUCCUUCGUUUGCGUUCGUGUUCCAUCAUCGCAGCUCACGUCGGUUCACCGCCACUGUAUGCUUGCCGUCGUCGCUGCCGCGCCUCUAGCCGGAUCCUCCGCGUCGCGUGCUCGCGUUUGGUCUCUCUCCUCCGUCAGUCUCUUGCUUGGUGUCGAGUUCGCUGUCGACGAGGAAGCUUUGCCACCGUUUCUCCGGUGCUUCGCAUACGGGGAUACUAAAUAAGAGCAAAUUAGUUGCUAUUGAUGCUGGAAACAGGGGCUACCCUCUGAAUAAGAUCUGCUACAUAUACUAUCAUCUACUCCUAGACAUCCAAACCUCAUUGAGCACACCAGUGAGAAAGCCAAGGAAGCUAAAGAUAUACAACAUAGCUAAAAGAAGAAAUAUAAUUAUCAGGUAGUAGUGACUUAGUUGGAAUGUGAUUUCAGUUUUUAAUUUGUUUGGAAUUGGAAUGUGAUUUGAGUUUCAAUUCUGACCUCUUUGAUUAUAGUAUCCUUAAUUCUCUUGUUACACAUUUCAUAUAAAAUACCAGUGAUGAAUUGUUGAUAAAUAAAACACAGUUAUGAAUUGAAUUGAAACUUGAUAUAUGCUCUGUGCCUGUUGUUUGGCUGCAUUAUCUAAGAAAUAUUUUGUUUGGCUGCAUUAUCUAAGGAAUAUUUUGUAUGACUGCAUUAUCUAAGGUCUGUGCCUGUUGUUAGUAUGCUUUAAAAUUUACUUCAAUUUAUUUAUCAAGUUGAAAAGAUCUAAUGCUGGGGAAGCUAGACUAGAUCCUCCUUGUUCUAGCUUUCCAAAUGAUUAAUAGUUGAAUUAGUUCGAUAAUUGGUUAAAUACAUGUAUAUGAAGAAUCAGUGCACAAUGCCUCUAUGCAAAUAUAUCAUGAAUGAAUGUGAUUUUUACAUUCUUUUUCCACCUUGUAAUCUUUGUGUCUGGGUUAUGUGUAUAAUAAGAGGCCUAUCAUUUUCCACCUUAUAUGGCACCUACUGCAGGUUCUGUCUGAAAGGUUUUUCAAGGCACAUGUUUCAAAAUUGGAUAAUAAAAUGUGUGUUUAGCUUCAAUGAAAUUUAAUGAAAAGAUCGAUUUAUGAUAAAGCCAAAAUCUCAGCACCCAUCUCAUUAGACACUAGUUCACAAAAUGAUCCUAACCAAUCAUCUGACUCAAUUCCUCUUUUUAUUGUUAUUGUUAUUAUUUUUUUGUUCUAUUUUUAUUUACAUUGUGUUUCAUGUCAUAAAUAGCUUGGUUCUCUCAUUUAUUUGCAUAGCACUUGCUGCUAUAGAAUUCUUUCUGAUGGAAUACUUAUAAUUUAAUCCUACAAGAAGGUACAUAAUUGGAUGUUGAAACUAAUUGGGUUAUGAGUAUGAUAAGAGGCCUAAAGAAAUGAUAGGGUUAUGGGUUAUCAGUAUUUUUGUGCUGUUAUG
RNA transcript from Arachis duranensis, 1704 nucleotides. RefSeq lists it as uncharacterized. The transcript has 4 exons. Lineage: Eukaryota; Viridiplantae; Streptophyta; Magnoliopsida; Fabales; Fabaceae. The record is from RefSeq and is a predicted model, not a curated record.